RNAcentral lists this ribosomal RNA (627 nucleotides) under uncultured bacterium. RNAcentral describes it as "bacterial SSU rRNA". It matches the Rfam family "Bacterial small subunit ribosomal RNA", at positions 255 to 872 of the family's 1533-position model. The record is from RNAcentral.
AGGUAACGGCUCACCAAGGCCACGAUGCAUAGCCGACCUGAGAGGGUGAUCGGCCACACUGGGACUGAGACACGGCCCAGACUCCUACGGGAGGCAGCAGUAGGGAAUCUUCGGCAAUGGACGAAAGUCUGACCGAGCAACGCCGCGUGAGUGAAGAAGGUUUUCGGAUCGUAAAACUCUGUUGUUAGAGAAGAACAAGGAUGAGAGUAGAACGUUCAUCCCUUGACGGUAUCUAACCAGAAAGCCACGGCUAACUACGUGCCAGCAGCCGCGGUAAUACGUAGGUGGCAAGCGUUGUCCGGAUUUAUUGGGCGUAAAGCGAGCGCAGGCGGUUUCUUAAGUCUGAUGUGAAAGCCCCCGGCUCAACCGGGGAGGGUCAUUGGAAACUGGGAGACUUGAGUGCAGAAGAGGAGAGUGGAAUUCCAUGUGUAGCGGUGAAAUGCGUAGAUAUAUGGAGGAACACCAGUGGCGAAGGCGGCUCUCUGGUCUGUAGCUGACGCUGAGGCUCGAAAGCGUGGGGAGCGAACAGGAUUAGAUACCCUGGUAGUCCACGCCGUAAACGAUGAGUGCUAAGUGUUGGAGGGUUUCCGCCCUUCAGUGCUGCAGCAAACGCAUUAAGCACUCCGC